This 465-nucleotide ribosomal RNA is filed under the name uncultured bacterium. Its description in RNAcentral is "partial 16S ribosomal RNA". It matches the Rfam family "Bacterial small subunit ribosomal RNA", at positions 28 to 507 of the family's 1533-position model. The record is from RNAcentral.
GACGAACGCUGGCGGCGUGCUUAACACGUGCAAGUCGUACGGUAAGGCCCUUUCGGGGGUACACGAGUGGCGAACGGGUGAGUAACACGUGAGUAACCUGCCCACAACUUUGGGAUAACGCUAGGAAACUGGUGCUAAUACUGGAUAUGUGCUCCUGCUGCAUGGUGGGGGUUGGAAAGCUCCGGCGGUUGUGGAUGGACUCGCGGCCUAUCAGCUUGUUGGUGGGGUAGUGGCCUACCAAGGCGGCGACGGGUAGCCGGCCUGAGAGGGUGACCGGCCAAAUUGGGACUGAGAUACGGCCCAGACUCCUACGGGAGGCAGCAGUGGGGAAUAUUGCACAAUGGGCGCAAGCCUGAUGCAGCAACGCCGCGUGCGGGAUGACGGCCUUCGGGUUGUAAACCGCUUUCAGCAGGGACGAAGCUUUUUGUGACGGUACCUGCAGAAGAAGCACCGGCUAACUACGUG